This 193-nucleotide ribosomal RNA is filed under the name uncultured Pseudomonas sp. RNAcentral describes it as "partial 16S ribosomal RNA". It matches the Rfam family "Bacterial small subunit ribosomal RNA", at positions 337 to 522 of the family's 1533-position model. Lineage: Bacteria; Pseudomonadati; Pseudomonadota; Gammaproteobacteria; Pseudomonadales; Pseudomonadaceae. The record is from RNAcentral.
UCCUACGGGAGGCAGCAGUGGGGAAUAUUGGACAAUGGGCGAAAGCCUGAUCCAGCCAUGCCGCGUGUGUGAAGAAGGUCUUCGGAUUGUAAAGCACUUUAAGUUGGGAGGAAGGGUUGUAACCUAAUACGUUGCAAUUUUGACGUUACCGACAGAAUAAGCACCGGCUAACUUCGUGCCAGCAGCCGCGGUA